UCUAGAGAGGAAAGAAAGCUCUCAUUCUCUCCCUUUUUUAGUUUAGCAUCUAGGGUAUCAUCUUGCCCUGAAAUUAGGAGGCUACUAAUUUACGGUGGUUUGAUCCUUGUGUUCAUAGGCAGUCUAGUUGGGUUAGAUGCAAUUGAAUCCUCUUUUUGGCAACGUUCUUGUUUGAGAUUCAUACAACGGUUCGUUGGGAAUUUGUUAAUUUCACAAGAUAUUAUCCUAACCGAAUUCCUUUAUAUUAUUUGCAUAUAUUUCCAAUAAAUAUUGUGUAAAAACAUAGGAAGCAGAUUCCCACUUUCAAGAAAGAUGUCAUUUUUUAAAACAAACAAUAGUAUUUUUCACUACGGCGAUAGGGGAGUAUGCUAAGCCUCACAAUAGACUAGUAAUAAUGUGAUUCAAAUUCAUCUUUGGUGAGAAUUGAACCAAAGAACUCUAAGUGAAAAUAAAUACUACUAUAUUGUAGUACUAAGCGGCGAGAGGACAUUUUGUUUAAAAGUACUCUAAAGUAGCUACUAAGGUAACAAGUGGAUUUUCACUUUCUUUUAUAGUCAGAAUUGCUAACUAAUUGGUAAUCUUUUUUUGGAUUUAAUCUAAUUUUAGAUGGCAAACAAGAGUUCGUCAAUUUAUUGAGCAUAUGCGUCCAGUUGUCAAUUAAGGUGAUUGUUGGUCAGUAACAUCACUCAGUGCUUCCAAGUUGUGUAUCAUCUGAACACCAGAAUUUGGAUUUUAAUCCCCACAACAUCUUGUGGGUUGCGUCCCAAAGGUUCUCGCGCGCCCAAAUGAAGAGAAUCUUACCCUGCCACUAUAUGCACUUACUGUACAUGAAGAAUCAUGACGUUGCAUUGGAAAGCAAUUAAAUGUUUUGAACAUUUUUUAUUUCUCCCUUUAGGGACAUGGCUUAAAAAUUCAGAUUGGAAUUACAGGAUACUAAGGGGCCAAGGGCCCAACACAAAAUUAUUCAAAAACUCAGUACAUCUACUCCAAUAAUUAGAGGACUUGUCAUACAGCCUAGCCUGCAUAUGCAGAAUCAAAUUACAGGUUACGGUCCAUAGCAAAUCCUCAAAUUGUUGGGGUGAGCGUAUUGAGUUUUUAAAUUAUUUCAUGUUGGCCGCUGAGUAUCCUGUAAUCUCCAAAAUGGAUUUUUAAGCCAUGUCUUUGAAAGCAGAAUUGAAAAAAGUUCAAUAAUUUAGUUAGCAUAUUUGUAAAGAUUUGAAUUUGAAGGUGUUUGAUUAAUUCUUAUGUUGAUUGGGUUGUCCAUAUAAGGCCAAUCGCUAAUCGCUUUCCAAUACAAUGUCAUGAUUAUAGUGCGUCCAAUAUAUGGUGGGACUUUUGUCAUAGUGGUAGGUCAAGGUCCUCUUCUUUAGGCGCGGAUGAAACCUAGGGUCACAAUCCACAAGAUGUUGCGGGGAGAGCAAAAGCCAGAUUCCUUCAUGUGGUACAUAGCUUGCAAGCACUUAACUGUCCAUCACUAAUCUGAAUUGGCAUCAUGAUUAAUAAAUAAAUAAUUUUAUGUUAAAAUAAUAUUAUGAUUACUGAUUAGUUUCUAAAUUGCACUAAUAAUUAUAUUACUUACUGGCUUCUUGGUGUCAAACAAAUGGAUGCAUAUGCUCAAUGCGGUUGACGAACUCUGGCUGAGUUUGGGUGUCAUUCCAUGAUAUAGAAUGAGAGAUUGCUCUAGUACUAGUAAAUUUUGUAUCCAAGUAGUUUAUGUGCCAUUAGCUAGCUCUUAGCUCUAUAUAUUAUUUUGGUCACUCUUGCUGGAGUUGGAGUAAAAACUGAAUUGCUUCCCGUUUCAAUGUUUAUUUUGAAUUACGAGUGAAGUGAACUUCUUGUGGAGUAGGGAAGGGUCUGAUGUUGUAGUCAUUGGGAGUGGUAUCGGCGGAUUGAGUUGGGCGGGGCUUUUAGCCAGGUUACUUGUUCCGGGGAUUGAUGUCUUUGAAGUGAAUUAUAUGUAUUUUAUGUCUUAACAUUCGAACCAACAUUUAUGCUGCAGUUUAUACGUGCGAAAAAAUCUGUUGCAGCAAUGCAUCUAUGUGGGACAAUCUAUUACCUAAGAAAGCUGUUCCAAAGUCAUUUCAGGACAGGACGAAGACGACCUCCCAAAGUGAAUCGUUCCUACAUCUUCAUUUGGGAUUUGAUGCAAAGGAAAUGCGGAGAGCCAUGGAGCGUGCGGUUGGUCCUGGCUUUGGCCAUGAGAAAUGCGAGGUGAAGUUAUUCGGAUCUCCAUUGACGCACCAGAGGUUUCGUUGAAGGAACCGAGGAACGUCUGGACCAGCAAUAGAAGCCCGUAAAGACUCAUUCCCGGGGCAUUCAACUUCCACCCCUUAACUUUAUUGUUGUGGAGAUUCUACAUUUCCUGGCGUCGGAGUCCCUGCAGUUGCUGUUGAAUUAUGGCCAAAUUAUGGGGCAUUUUUUUAUCCGGCCCAUGUGAAAGCCAUUGUUUGUGGCUAGGGUAUAUUGCAAGAAGCUGCUGCCCUUUUGGUUUUGAAGCAGAAAGGGAGAGAUUAGAAGCUGCCGACAGCCUCUAUUUGCAAGAAGAGAAGAGAGCUGCUGCCCCCGUUUUGUUAGCAACCACCCAUCAAAGUUGUAGUUGUAAUAGCUUUGAGUUUUGUAUAGAGAGAAAAUUAAUCACGAUAAU
This is a long non-coding RNA of Pyrus x bretschneideri (Chinese white pear), 2644 nucleotides long. RefSeq lists it as uncharacterized. The record is from RefSeq and is a predicted model, not a curated record. The transcript is spliced from 2 exons. NCBI's taxonomy places the organism in Eukaryota, Viridiplantae, Streptophyta, Magnoliopsida, Rosales, Rosaceae.